GACGAACGCUGGCGGCGUGCUUAACACAUGCAAGUCGAACGGAAAGGCCCUGCUUUUGUGGGGUGCUCGAGUGGCGAACGGGUGAGUAACACGUGAGUAACCUGCCCUUGACUUUGGGAUAACUUCAGGAAACUGGGGCUAAUACCGGAUAGGAGCUCCUGCUGCAUGGUGGGGGUUGGAAAGUUUCGGCGGUUGGGGAUGGACUCGCGGCUUAUCAGCUUGUUGGUGGGGUAGUGGCUUACCAAGGCUUUGACGGGUAGCCGGCCUGAGAGGGUGACCGGCCACAUUGGGCCUGGGAUACGGCCCAGACUCGUACGGGAGGCAGCAGUGGAGAAUAGUGCACAAUGGGAGGGAGCCUGAUGCAACAACGCCGCGUGCGGGAUGACGGCCUUCGGGUGGGAAACCGCUUUCGCCUGUGACGAAGCGUGAGUGACGGUAAUGGGUAAAGAAGCACCGGCUAACUACGUG
RNAcentral lists this ribosomal RNA (468 nucleotides) under uncultured bacterium. RNAcentral describes it as "partial 16S ribosomal RNA". It matches the Rfam family "Bacterial small subunit ribosomal RNA", at positions 28 to 507 of the family's 1533-position model. The record is from RNAcentral.